Molecule: ribosomal RNA, 908 nt
Filed under: Rimora mangrovei
Lineage: Eukaryota; Fungi; Ascomycota; Dothideomycetes; Pleosporales; Aigialaceae
Description: partial large subunit ribosomal RNA
Rfam family: Eukaryotic large subunit ribosomal RNA
Source: RNAcentral
AUAAGCGGAGGAAAGAAACAACAGGGAUUGCCCCAGUAACGGCGAGUGAAGCGGCAACAGCUCAAAUUUGAAAUCUGGCCCUUGUGGGGGUCCGAGUUGUAAUUUGUAGAGGGUGCUUUGGCGUCGGCUGCGGUCCAAGUUCCUUGGAACAGGACGUCACAGAGGGUGAGAAUCCCGUACGUGGCUGCGUGCCUUCGCCGUGUAAAGCCCCUUCGACGAGUCGAGUUGUUUGGGAAUGCAGCUCUAAAUGGGAGGUAAAUUUCUUCUAAAGCUAAAUACCGGCCAGAGACCGAUAGCGCACAAGUAGAGUGAUCGAAAGAUGAAAAGCACUUUGGAAAGAGAGUCAAAAAGCACGUGAAAUUGUUGAAAGGGAAGCGCUUGCAGCCAGACGUGCCCGCGGUUGCUCAUCCGGACCACUGUCCGGUGCACUCUCCCGCGGGCAGGCCAGCAUCGGUUUGGGCGGUUGGAUAAAGGCUCCGGGAAUGUAGCUCCCCCCGGGGAGUGUUAUAGCCCGGUGCGCAAUGCAGCCAGCCCGGACCGAGGCCCGCGCGCAUGCUAGGAUGCUGGCGUAAUGGUUGUAAGCGGCCCGUCUUGAAACACGGACCAAGGAGUCUAACAUCUAUGCGAGUGUUUGGGUGUCAAGCCCGGGCGCGCAAUGAAAGUGAACGGAGGUGGGAACCCCCUCGAGGGCGCACCAUCGACCGAUCCUGAUGUCUUCGGAUGGAUUUGAGUAAGAGCAUAGCUGUUGGGACCCGAAAGAUGGUGAACUAUGCCUGAAUAGGGUGAAGCCAGAGGAAACUCUGGUGGAGGCUCGCAGCGGUUCUGACGUGCAAAUCGAUCGUCAAAUUUGGGCAUAGGGGCGAAAGACUAAUCGAACUAUCUAGUAGCUGGUUCCCUGCAGAAGUUCU